ACUACUCUGAAUUUUCACUGUGUUUUAAAAAGUCCCACUUCUGUCAUCCAUCCGCUGAUUCUUAUACACAGAGACUGCAGACUUGUAGCACGUCUGUGCCGUUGUUUUCCAUUAAAUAACAUUUACUGUGACACCCGAGUGUCAACAUCCUUUGGGAAUUUAAAAAAAAACAACCUCUGUGGUCAAAGAGUGGUGACAAUAAAUGUUUCGCAUACUUCUGUAAUCAGAAACAAAAUUACCAAAUCCCGACUGGUCCGGCUGCGGGUUGUUCCUGUUGUCCACCUGCACUCUUUCCUUCCCUCUCCCCCCAGAGAGGAGGCUCCCUGCUGGGUGUCAGUGGAGCAGAGUCCGUUCGUCCUCGGCCUGACCAGUGAAAACGGAGAGCUGCUGCUGGACGAAGGCGUUCAGGUCACGGAGGGCUCCAAGAUCAAGGAGAGGCACCUGUUCCUCUUCAGCAACGUCCUCGUCUUCUCCAAAUCCAAGUCGACCACCGGCUACCGCCUGAAGCGCCGAGUGAGCCUCCAGGACGUUUGGCUCUACGGGUUUGAAGAUGAGGCGGUGGGAGAGGAGGGAGCGACGGGCGACAUCGACCUCAGGGUGACGCUCGUCUUGGCCUGGGAUCUCACCGUUUCUCUGGUGUGUUUCUGCUCGCCUGAGGUGAAAGAACGCUGGUUAGAUAUUCUUCACCGGUAAGAAAGAACAU
Gasterosteus aculeatus (three-spined stickleback) is the source of this 703-nucleotide long non-coding RNA. The record is from Ensembl. Lineage: Eukaryota; Metazoa; Chordata; Actinopteri; Perciformes; Gasterosteidae.